Molecule: ribosomal RNA, 813 nt
Filed under: uncultured Actinomycetes bacterium
Lineage: Bacteria; Bacillati; Actinomycetota; Actinomycetes
Description: bacterial SSU rRNA
Rfam family: Bacterial small subunit ribosomal RNA
Source: RNAcentral
UCCAACNUUCGGGUGAAGACCGAGUGGCGAACGGGUGAGUAACACGUGGGGAACCUGCCCUUCUCUCUGGGAUAACUCCGGGAAACCGGAGCUAAUACCGGAUACUCCUUGCGGACCGCAUGGUCUGCUCGGGAAAGCUCCGGCGGAGAAGGAUGGCCCCGCGGCCCAUUAGCUUGUUGGUGGGGUAACGGCCCACCAAGGCGACGAUGGGUAGCCGAGCUGAGAGGCUGAUCGGCCACACUGGGACUGAGACACGGCCCAGACUCCUACGGGAGGCAGCAGUGGGGAAUCUUGCGCAAUGGGCGAAAGCCUGACGCAGCAACGCCGCGUGCGGGAUGAAGGCUCUCGGGUCGUAAACCGCUUUCAGCAGGGAUGAAAAUGACAGUACCUGCAGAAGAAGCCCCGGCUAAAUACGUGCCAGCAGCCGCGGUAAUACGUAUGGGGCAAGCGUUAUCCGGAUUCAUUGGGCGUAAAGCGCGCGUAGGCGGCUUGUUAAGUCAGGCGUGAAAUCCGGGGGCUCAACCCGCGGCUUGCGUCUGAAACUGGCAGGCUUGAGUCUGGUAGAGGAAAGUGGAAUUCCUGGUGUAGCGGUGAAAUGCGCAGAUAUCAGGAGGAACACCAGUGGCGAAGGCGGCUUUCUGGGCCACGACUGACGCUGAGGCGCGAAAGCUAGGGGAGCGAACAGGAUUAGAUACCCUGGUAGUCCUAGCCGUAAACGAUGGGCACUAGGUGUGGGGGGUCAUCGACUCCCUCCGUGCCGAAGCUAACGCAUUAAGUGCCCCGCCUGGGGAGUACGGCCGCAAGGCUNAAACU